AACGAACGCUGGCGGCAUGCCUAACACAUGCAAGUCGAACGAGACCUUCGGGUCUCGUGGCGCACGGGUGCGUAACGCGUGGGAACCUGCCCUUAGGUUCGGAAUAACUCCCCGAAAGGGGUGCUAAUACCGGAUAGUGUCUUCGGACCAAAGAUUUAUCGCCCUUGGAUGGGCCCGCAUUGGAUUAGCUAGUUGGUAGGGUAAAAGCCUACUAAGGCGACGAUCCAUAGCUGGUCUGAGAGGAUGAUCAGCCACACUGGGACUGAGACACGGCCCAGACUCCUACGGGAGGCAGCAAUGGGGAAUAUUGGAAAAUGGGGGGAAGCCUGAACCAGCAAGGCCGCGUGAGUGAUGAAGGCCUUGAGGUUGUAAAGCUCUUUUAUCCGGGAUGAUAAUGACAGUACCGGGAGAAUAAGCUCCGGCUAACUCCGUG
RNAcentral lists this ribosomal RNA (433 nucleotides) under uncultured bacterium. RNAcentral's name for it is "partial 16S ribosomal RNA". It matches the Rfam family "Bacterial small subunit ribosomal RNA", at positions 29 to 507 of the family's 1533-position model. The record is from RNAcentral.